UGAAUUGACGGGACCCGCACAAGCAGCGGAGCGUGUGGUUUAAUUCGUUGCUACACGAAGAACCUUACCUGGGUUUGACAUAUAGGUUGUAGGGAACUGAAAAGGGACCGACCCUUCGGGGAGCCUAUACAGGUGUUGCAUGGCUGUCGUCAGCUCGUGUCGUGAGAUGUUCGGUUAAGUCCGCUAACGAGCGCAACCCUCGUCGUAUGUUAUAUGUGUCAUACGAGACUGCCGGUAAAAAGCCGGAGGAAGGUGAGGAUGAUGUCAAGUCAGCAUGACCUUUAUAUCCAGGGCUACACACACGCUACAAUGGUCUGUACAAUGGGUAGCCAAGCCGCGAGGCGGAGCCAAUCCUGAAAGCAGGCCUCAGUUCAGAUUGCAGUCUGCAACUCGCCUGCAUGAAGAUGGAGUUGCUAGUAACCGCAGGUCAGCAAUACUGCGGUGAAUACGUUCCCGGGUCUU
RNAcentral lists this ribosomal RNA (462 nucleotides) under uncultured Anaerolineaceae bacterium. RNAcentral describes it as "bacterial SSU rRNA". It matches the Rfam family "Bacterial small subunit ribosomal RNA", at positions 907 to 1382 of the family's 1533-position model. Lineage: Bacteria; Bacillati; Chloroflexota; Anaerolineae; Anaerolineales; Anaerolineaceae. The record is from RNAcentral.